AAAUUGAAGAGUUUGAUCAUGGCUCAGAUUGAACGCUGGCGGCAGGCCUAACACAUGCAAGUCGAACGGUAACAGGAAGCAGCUUGCUGCUUCGCUGACGAGUGGCGGACGGGUGAGUAAUGUCUGGGAAACUGCCUGAUGGAGGGGGAUAACUACUGGAAACGGUAGCUAAUACCGCAUAACGUCGCAAGACCAAAGAGGGGGACCUUCGGGCCUCUUGCCAUCGGAUGUGCCCAGAUGGGAUUAGCUUGUUGGUGGGGUAACGGCUCACCAAGGCGACGAUCCCUAGCUGGUCUGAGAGGAUGACCAGCCACACUGGAACUGAGACACGGUCCAGACUCCUACGGGAGGCAGCAGUGGGGAAUAUUGCACAAUGGGCGCAAGCCUGAUGCAGCCAUGCCGCGUGUAUGAAGAAGGCCUUCGGGUUGUAAAGUACUUUCAGCGGGGAGGAAGGGAGUAAAGUUAAUACCUUUACUCAUUGACGUUACCCGCAGAAGAAGCACCGGCUAACUCCGUGCCAGCAGCCGCGGUAAUACGGAGGGUGCAAGCGUUAAUCGGAAUUACUGGGCGUAAAGCGCACGCAGGCGGUUUGUUAAGUCAGAUGUGAAAUCCCCGGGCUCAACCUGGGAACUGCAUCUGAUACUGGCAAGCUUGAGUCUCGUAGAGGGGGGUAGAAUUCCAGGUGUAGCGGUGAAAUGCGUAGAGAUCUGGAGGAAUACCGGUGGCGAAGGCGGCCCCCUGGACGAAGACUGACGCUCAGGUGCGAAAGCGUGGGGAGCAAACAGGAUUAGAUACCCUGGUAGUCCACGCCGUAAACGAUGUCGACUUGGAGGUUGUGCCCUUGAGGCGUGGCUUCCGGAGCUAACGCGUUAAGUCGACCGCCUGGGGAGUACGGCCGCAAGGUUAAAACUCAAAUGAAUUGACGGGGGCCCGCACAAGCGGUGGAGCAUGUGGUUUAAUUCGAUGCAACGCGAAGAACCUUACCUGGUCUUGACAUCCACGGAAGUUUUCAGAGAUGAGAAUGUGCCUUCGGGAACCGUGAGACAGGUGCUGCAUGGCUGUCGUCAGCUCGUGUUGUGAAAUGUUGGGUUAAGUCCCGCAACGAGCGCAACCCUUAUCCUUUGUUGCCAGCGGUCCGGCCGGGAACUCAAAGGAGACUGCCAGUGAUAAACUGGAGGAAGGUGGGGAUGACGUCAAGUCAUCAUGGCCCUUACGACCAGGGCUACACACGUGCUACAAUGGCGCAUACAAAGAGAAGCGACCUCGCGAGAGCAAGCGGACCUCAUAAAGUGCGUCGUAGUCCGGAUUGGAGUCUGCAACUCGACUCCAUGAAGUCGGAAUCGCUAGUAAUCGUGGAUCAGAAUGCCACGGUGAAUACGUUCCCGGGCCUUGUACACACCGCCCGUCACACCAUGGGAGUGGGUUGCAAAAGAAGUAGGUAGCUUAACCUUCGGGAGGGCGCUUACCACUUUGUGAUUCAUGACUGGGGUGAAGUCGUAACAAGGUAACCGUAGGGGAACCUGCGGUUGGAUCACCUCCUUA
Molecule: ribosomal RNA, 1542 nt
Filed under: Escherichia coli
Lineage: Bacteria; Pseudomonadati; Pseudomonadota; Gammaproteobacteria; Enterobacterales; Enterobacteriaceae
Also listed under: 1 other name
Description: bacterial SSU rRNA
Rfam family: Bacterial small subunit ribosomal RNA
Source: RNAcentral